This 1502-nucleotide ribosomal RNA is filed under the name Pantoea sp. Fv10. RNAcentral's name for it is "bacterial SSU rRNA". It matches the Rfam family "Bacterial small subunit ribosomal RNA". Lineage: Bacteria; Pseudomonadati; Pseudomonadota; Gammaproteobacteria; Enterobacterales; Erwiniaceae. The record is from RNAcentral.
UAGAGUUUGAUCCUGGCUCAGAUUGAACGCUGGCGGCAGGCCUAACACAUGCAAGUCGGACGGUAGCACAGAGGAGCUUGCUCCUUGGGUGACGAGUGGCGGACGGGUGAGUAAUGUCUGGGGAUCUGCCCGAUAGAGGGGGAUAACCACUGGAAACGGUGGCUAAUACCGCAUAACGUCGCAAGACCAAAGAGGGGGACCUUCGGGCCUCUCACUAUCGGAUGAACCCAGAUGGGAUUAGCUAGUAGGCGGGGUAAUGGCCCACCUAGGCGACGAUCCCUAGCUGGUCUGAGAGGAUGACCAGCCACACUGGAACUGAGACACGGUCCAGACUCCUACGGGAGGCAGCAGUGGGGAAUAUUGCACAAUGGGCGCAAGCCUGAUGCAGCCAUGCCGCGUGUAUGAAGAAGGCCUUCGGGUUGUAAAGUACUUUCAGCGGGGAGGAAGGCGAUGUGGUUAAUAACCGCAUCGAUUGACGUUACCCGCAGAAGAAGCACCGGCUAACUCCGUGCCAGCAGCCGCGGUAAUACGGAGGGUGCAAGCGUUAACCGGAAUUACUGGGCGUAAAGCGCACGCAGGCGGUCUGUUAAGUCAGAUGUGAAAUCCCCGGGCUUAACCUGGGAACUGCAUUUGAAACUGGCAGGCUUGAGUCUUGUAGAGGGGGGUGGAAUUCCAGGUGUAGCGGUGAAAUGCGUAGAGAUCUGGAGGAAUACCGGUGGCGAAGGCGGCCCCCUGGACAAAGACUGACGCUCAGGUGCGAAAGCGUGGGGAGCAAACAGGAUUAGAUACCCUGGUAGUCCACGCCGUAAACGAUGUCGACUUGGAGGUUGUUCCCUUGAGGAGUGGCUUCCGGAGCUAACGCGUUAAGUCGACCGCCUGGGGAGUACGGCCGCAAGGUUAAAACUCAAAUGAAUUGACGGGGGCCCGCACAAGCGGUGGAGCAUGUGGUUUAAUUCGAUGCAACGCGAAGAACCUUACCUACUCUUGACAUCCAGAGAACUUAGCAGAGAUGCUUUGGUGCCUUCGGGAACUCUGAGACAGGUGCUGCAUGGCUGUCGUCAGCUCGUGUUGUGAAAUGUUGGGUUAAGUCCCGCAACGAGCGCAACCCUUAUCCUUUGUUGCCAGCGCGUCAUGGCGGGAACUCAAAGGAGACUGCCGGUGAUAAACCGGAGGAAGGCGGGGAUGACGUCAAGUCAUCAUGGCCCUUACGAGUAGGGCUACACACGUGCUACAAUGGCGCAUACAAAGAGAAGCGACCUCGCGAGAGCAAGCGGACCUCACAAAGUGCGUCGUAGUCCGGAUCGGAGUCUGCAACUCGACUCCGUGAAGUCGGAAUCGCUAGUAAUCGUGGAUCAGAAUGCCACGGUGAAUACGUUCCCGGGCCUUGUACACACCGCCCGUCACACCAUGGGAGUGGGUUGCAAAAGAAGUAGGUAGCUUAACCUUCGGGAGGGCGCUUACCACUUUGUGAUUCAUGACUGGGGUGAAGUCGUAACAAGGUA